UAGUCCACGCCGUAAACGAUGGAUACUAGGUGUAGGAGGUAUCGACCCCUCCUGUGCCGCCGUUAACACAUUAAGUAUCCCACCUGGGGAGUACGGUCGCAAGACUGAAACUCAAAGGAAUUGACGGGGGCCCGCACAAGCAGUGGAGUAUGUGGUUUAAUUCGAGGCAACGCGAAGAACCUUACCAGGGCUUGACGUCGCCUGACAGCGCUAGAGAUAGCGUGUCUCUUCGGAGCAGGUAGACAGGUGGUGCAUGGUUGUCGUCAGCUCGUGUCGUGAGAUGUUGGGUUAAGUCCCGCAACGAGCGCAACCCUUGCCGUUAUUUGCCAUCAUUAAGUUGGGCACUCUAUCGGGACUGCCGGUGAUAAAUCGGAGGAAGGUGGGGAUGACGUCAAGUCCUCAUGGCCUUUAUGACCAGGGCUACACACGUACUACAAUGGCCGGAACAAAGGGUAGCGACUUCGCGAGUAGUAGCUAAUCCCAUAAAUCCGGUCUCAGUCCGGAUCGGAGU
RNAcentral lists this ribosomal RNA (511 nucleotides) under uncultured bacterium. Its description in RNAcentral is "bacterial SSU rRNA". It matches the Rfam family "Bacterial small subunit ribosomal RNA", at positions 791 to 1304 of the family's 1533-position model. The record is from RNAcentral.